UACGUAGGUGGCGAGCGUUGUCCGGAUUUACUGGGCGUAAAGGGAGCGUAGGCGGGCUUUUAAGUGAGAUGUGAAAUACUCGGGCUCAACUUGAGUGCUGCAUUUCAAACUGGAAGUCUAGAGUGCGGGAGAGGAGAAUGGAAUUCCUAGUGUAGCGGUGAAAUGCGUAGAGAUUAGGAAGAACACCAGUGGCGAAGGCGAUUCUCUGGACUGUAACUGACGCUGAGGCUCGAAAGCGUGGGGAGCAAACAGG
Molecule: ribosomal RNA, 253 nt
Filed under: uncultured bacterium
Lineage: Bacteria
Description: partial 16S ribosomal RNA
Rfam family: Bacterial small subunit ribosomal RNA
Source: RNAcentral